Molecule: non-coding RNA, 3983 nt
Organism: Nothobranchius furzeri (turquoise killifish)
Lineage: Eukaryota; Metazoa; Chordata; Actinopteri; Cyprinodontiformes; Nothobranchiidae
Source: RefSeq, a predicted model, not a curated record
AAUCUAUAUUCGUAUUUUAUGUCACUGCCACCUUUAAACUAGCUGAGUUUACCGAAGUAGCUAGCUAACUAUCAGUUUAACAUGUAGCAUGUACUGUUUAACCAUGAAAUUUAAAUGUAAAAUACGGUAAAAUAAUUAAUAGGGCAUAUUUAGAUGGGUAAUAGGGUAAAACCCAGUGCAUUUAAGAUAAAAAUGGGUUGAAAUAUGACGGAGCGCUAAGAGGGAGACUUCUGUGUCCAUUCUUCCAUCCGGUAAUCCCCAGCGGUCAGCCUGACCGAUACGGCGCCUACUUGCUGCGCCUAGCUGCUGCGCGGUCUGACCGCUCGUGGAGUUUUUCAUGUCUGACUUUAACCGCAUCUAAUACUGUAUUACGGCGUGAGCGCAACAGCGACAACUUAAUAUCGAUGUGUAAGCAGCCUGAGUGGUAGGGUGUUUUCAUCUGAACCCUUAAAACCUCCAGCAGGCUAUGCUGCACUAUUGACGUGUUAGCGCGCGGCGCUAACAACUUAGCAACGUGACAUGUCUCUGAGAAAGCGUAAAACACGGACGCUUCUUCUGAAGCGGAAAAUAACACCUCUUCUUAAGCAGAGCAGGAUGUCGCCUCGGCUCGUUCACGGCCGAGCCGGACUGAGCUCGAUAACAUUGACCAAGCACAGCCACUGGGCCGUUGUAGCUGCCACCAGGCCUGCUGAAGGAACUCCAGCGGGUUUCAUCAGACUCGUAAAGUUUCUUGUUUUUGCUGGGGAUUUCUGUAUUUUACCGCUCCCUCCUGCAGUCUUCCCCUAUUAAAAUUUAAAAUGUGUAACUUUAUGUAUUGUGAUGAAUGACUAAUAUUCAUGUUAAACUGAAACGUUAGGCAUUUAGGGGGAAAAACAAAAUAAUAAACAUUAUACAGAUGUCAAAUAAAUCAAACUGUAAUUAAACUAUAUAUUUUCAAAGUCAUAUAGACAGCAUGAUGGUUUGUGUGAUCCGUGCGGUUUCACUUACACCCCUUUAAUGAUCAGGCUGUUUUUUAUUAUUUUUAUCAGCUGAUAGCAGUUAAAAUUAUGGUAAAAAAUAAUUUUAUCUGUUUUUGAUAACUUAAUGCCCAGGAAGAGCAUCUUCCUGGGCAUUAAAUAUAACCCAAAUGUUUUAUUAUGAGCAGAUCUGAUGAAGGUUUAGACAAGCAGUCUGCAAAGUAAAACUUGUUUAGAGUCCAAACUCUUACUAAAGCUUUUGAAAAGAAAAAAUGGUUGAAUUUUGAGAAAUAUCCACAACAGGGGAGCGAGACCUCUGAAAAAUGUAUAUUUUCUCUGAAUUCAUAGAAUAAUGUGAAGAUUCUGGGAAAAGUUGGGAUUCUGAGAUUAAAACGUAAAUCUUUCUAAUCAUAAUUCUGGCAGUUUUUGUGUCCUUCUGCUGUGGAAAGUCGUGCAACAUGAAGAUACUGAGAAGAUGCUUACAACCUGUAUUUUUAUUCCAUCCAUAAAUAAAAUCAUGAGCUAUUUUUUUAAUCCAAAUUUGAUCCAAAGGGCCAUCGUUGGUUCCAGACCCGUUCUAGAACAUUCCUCUAAUCUUAGUCAUCAUCAGUUUCUUCCUUUUAACAAAUAUUUAUUUGUUCAAAUAUUUAAUAUUUAUAACUGGAAUAUUUGUUCCUCCCUCUCCCACUGCAGUUAGUCCUGUCCUGCAACCCUGUUUUUGCAGCUUAGUGAAGCCAACCAUCACUAACCUGGGGGUGGUUUUGGACCCAGAGAUGCGGAUGGACUCCCACAUUAGCCAGGUUGUUAGAUCCUGCUUUUCCCGGCUUCGCCAGCUACCAAAGAUGAAGUCCAUCCUGAAAGACGUGUCAUAUUUUCUCCCCAAGCUGGACCUGACCGUCAUGUAUCGGUCCAAAAUAGUGUGAUGAUAUUGUGUUUUUUGUACAUAACAGACUUUUUAACAGACAAAUUUGUCGCAUUCUCCUACACCUCUUCACGGGCUCGCCACAGUAAAUAUUCUAUUUGGCAAGAGAUAAACUUUAUUGUAUUUAUCCUAGUGAAUCUAUAAUUAAACGGGUAAACUAGUAGUAGCACAUCCAACAUCAAAGAAAGUAAAAUGUUAUUAUCAGGAGAGGGAGAAUGUUUAAGUGGUUAGCAGCAGUGUGCUAGCCGAUGGCCCCCUCUAUGAGGCCACCACAACUCAGCAGAGCAUCAUUGUAGCUUCUUCUGGGGAGAAAAACACUUAGAGAGAAAAUAAAGUUAACAGCUGAAAUAGCAGGAAAUAAUACAGUUAAAGAGCAGAUUGUAGAAGAAAGAAACCCCUGGGUUAAACUGGUCUGUCUACUGCAUAAUGCUGAACUCUAACAUGUGUCCUCAGGGAAGGACCUGAUUGGUGUCCAGAACCUGCUGAAGAAGCACCAGGCUCUGCAGGCUGAGAUCACAGGUCAUGAACCUCGCAUCAAGGCUGUCACCCAGAAAGGAGAGACCAUGGUGGAAGAAGGUCACUUCGCUGGUGAGGAGGUGAAGACUAAACUGUGGGAGCUUCAUGGACGUUGGGACACGCUGAAGGCCAAGGCGUCCCAGAGGAGGCAGGACCUGGAGGACUCUCUGCAGGCCCAGCAGUACUUUGCGGAUGCUAAUGAGGCCGAGUCCUGGAUGAGGGAGAAGGAGCCCAUCGUUGGAAGUCCAGACUAAGGGAAAGACGAGGACUUGGCCGAGGUAUGGAAGUCCCUUCCUGAGAAACUCCAAUCGCUUUUCUUUGCUCUCUUUCCAGUCCUUCAUAAUUAGUGUUUCUGUAUUUGGCAUUUCCUUCGGUUGUCUACCAGACGUCGUUGCUCGUUUAAGCGUCUCAUGGGUUAGGGGUAGAAGUGCUGGCCUCGCACAGGAAGUGAUGACAAACGUGUUCCCGUCGCUCUUAUUUCAAACGGUUUACAAGCUGUGAUGUGUGUUCCCGCUGCAGAGCAGCCAUGACACGUGGCAGCCGGCAGAAGGCUCACGCUUUUCCACUAAACACCCGCAGAGCUACGUCUGCGGUGAACUGAGCAGGGUUUGUUUUACGGUGGCGGAUCCGAUUGGACCAUCGCUGCGAGAAAGCUCCACUUGUGUCAGACGAGCUGAAGGUUCUGAUGUUCUGCUCCACAGGCUCUCCUGAAGAAGCACGAGGCCCUGAUGUCGGACCUGUCGGCUUACGGCAGCAGCAUCCAGGCCCUGAAGGAGCAGGCCCAGUCCUGCAGGCAACAAGGUGAUCAGCAGGUGCUUUUGUCCUGCAGGACCUGAAGGCCAACGAGUCCCGCCUGAGGGACAUCAACAAGGUGGCAUCUGAACUGGAGUCAGAAGGUCUGAUGGCUGAGGAGGCUCCUAUGGUUCAGGCUCAGGUGAGCGUCACCUGUCUGCAGCAGCUGGUCCCUCUCACUUCCUGGUUUAACUCUGCUCGUCUCUGUUUGUAGCAACAAGAACAUCUGGGUUCUGCUCCUGGAAAGGUGCGUGUUGUCCUCCGCCUCCACCAGAACCAGACGUGGUGUUUAUGUUACCACUCAUUUGUUUGUUUACAGGAUGAAGCCGACUCUAACACGGCGUCACCCUGGAAGGUGAGUUCAUUCAGCUGAUCAGAGGUCACCUCUGAUGGCAGCAGUCACGGCCGACCGUGCUGACAUCACACAGGAAUUCAGGUGACCCGGCAGGCACCAGGUUUUGGUGAAAGUGGGGACAUGUCAGCUGGUUGCCAUGGCUAGUUAUCUUUAUGCAUCUGUAUGACUGCUGACUGGUGUGUGUUUCCUGUGACCUUUGACCUCAGACCGUACGGUUGGGCGUUCAGACGACGGCUAACUUUAAUUCCAUCAAGGUAAGAGGAAGCUCUUCCCUUCCUGUCUGAGCGAUCCGUCUCCAGGUUUCUUCGUCCGGCGUCCAGCCCGCUGGCGUCCACCUUCAUCUCAUCUCACUUCAUUUAUAGUGCAAUACUUUCACAUUAUCAUUUUCCCACACUUCUGUAUACCUGUAUUUUGUUGUUUUUCAAUAAAGAAUGACAAAUUA